GACGAACGCUGGCGGCGUGCUUAACACAUGCAAGUCGAACGGAAAGGCCCUGCUUGCAGGGUACUCGAGUGGCGAACGGGUGAGUAACACGUGGGUGAUCUGCCCUGCACUUCGGGAUAAGCCUGGGAAACUGGGUCUAAUACCGGAUAGGAGCCAUUUUUAGUGUGAUGGUUGGAAAGUUUUUUCGGUGUAGGAUGAGCUCGCGGCCUAUCAGCUUGUUGGUGGGGUAAUGGCCUACCAAGGCGGCGACGGGUAGCCGGCCUGAGAGGGUGGACGGCCACAUUGGGACUGAGAUACGGCCCAGACUCCUACGGGAGGCAGCAGUGGGGAAUAUUGCACAAUGGGCGCAAGCCUGAUGCAGCGACGCCGCGUGGGGGAUGACGGCCUUCGGGUUGUAAACUCCUUUCGCUAGGGACGAAGCUUUUUGUGAUGGUACCUAGAUAAGAAGCACCGGCUAACUACGUG
RNAcentral lists this ribosomal RNA (465 nucleotides) under uncultured bacterium. Its description in RNAcentral is "partial 16S ribosomal RNA". It matches the Rfam family "Bacterial small subunit ribosomal RNA", at positions 28 to 507 of the family's 1533-position model. The record is from RNAcentral.